GAUGAAGAACGUAGCGAAAUGCGAUAAGUAGUGUGAAUUGCAGAAUUCAGUGAAUCAUCGAAUCUUUGAACGCACAUUGCGCCCCUUGGUAUUCCAUGGGGCAUGCCUGUUCGAGCGUCAUUUGUACCUUCAAGCUCUGCUUGGUGUUUGGUGUUUGUCUCGCCUCUGCGUGUAGACUCGCCUCAAAACAAUUGGCAGCCGGCGUAUUGAUUUCGGAGCGCAGUACAUCUCGCGCUUUGCACUCAUAACGACGACGUCCAAAAGUACAUUUUUACACUCUUGACCUCGGAUCAGGUAGGGAUACCCGCUGAACUUAAGCAUAUCAAUAAGCGGAGGA
This 337-nucleotide unclassified non-coding RNA is filed under the name soil metagenome. Its description in RNAcentral is "partial contains 5.8S ribosomal RNA, internal transcribed spacer 2, and large subunit ribosomal RNA". The stretch from base 1 to 120 matches the Rfam family "5.8S ribosomal RNA", at positions 35 to 154 of the family's 154-position model. The record is from RNAcentral.